AAAAAGUAUAAAGAAGAGAGAAAAAUAACAAAAGUAUAAAGAAGAGAGAAAAAUAAACAAAAAGUAUAAAGAACAGAGAAAAAUAAACAAAAAGUAUAAAGAAGAGAGAAAAAUAAACAAAAGUAAUAAAGAAGAGAGAAAAAUUAAACAAAAGUAUAAAGAAGGAAGAAAAUAAACAAAAGUAUAAAGAAGAGAGAAAAAUAAACAAAAGUAUAAAGAACAGAGGAAAAAUAAACAAAAAGUAUAAAGAAGAGAAAAAAUAACAAAAGUAAAAGAGAGAAAAAUAAACAAAAAAGUAUAAAGAGAGAGAAAAAUAAACAAAGUAUAAAGAAGAAAGAAAAUAAACAAAAGUAUAAAAGAAGAGAGAAAAAUAAACAAAAGUAUAAAGAAGAGAGAAAAAUAACACAAAAGUAUAAAGAAGAAGAGCAUAAUAUAUACAAAAAGUAUAAAAAAAUAACAAAAGGUAUAAAAGAAGAGAGAAAAAUAAACCAGAAAGUAUAAGAAAAGGGAAAAAAGAUUUAAAAAAUAAAGAAGAGAGAAAAUAAAUAAAAGAGGAAAACAAAAGAAAAGGCGAGAAUAACAAUAUAAAAGAAAGAGAGAAAAAUAAAAGAUACGAGAAAAUAACAAAAAAUAUAAAGAAGAGAGAAAAAUAAACAAAAAAGUUAAAAGAAGAGAGAAAAAUAAACAAAAAGUAUAAAGAAGAGAGAAAAAUAAACAAAAAGUAUAAAGAAGAAAGAAAAUAAACAAAAAGUAUAAAAGAAGAGAGAAAAAUAACAAAAGUAUAAGAAGAGAGAAAAAUAACAAAAGUAUAACGAACAGAGAAAAAAUAAAGACAAAAUAGUAUAAGAAGAAGAGAAAAUAAACAAAAGUAUAAAGAGAGAGAAAUCAACAAAAAGUAUAAAGAACGGAGAGAAAAAGUAAACGAAAAGUAUAAGAAGAGAGAAAUUUAAAACAAAAAGUAUAAAGAAGAGAAGAAAAAUCAACAAAAUGUAUGAAAGAGAGGGGAAAACUAAACAAAAGGUAAUAAAAGAAGAGAGAAAAAAUCAAAAAGUAUAGAAAGAAGGAAAAGAAAUAACAUAAAAAGGUUAAAAGAAGAGGAGAAAAUAAACAAAGUAUGAAAGGAAGAGAGAAAAUAAACAAAAGUAUUAAAGAAGAGAGAAAAUAAGAGCAAAAGUAUAAAGAAGAAAAGAAAAAAAAAAAAUUUAAACAAAAAAAAAAAGGUAAUAAAGAAGGAGAGAAAAGAUAAACAGAAGUCUAAGAGAAGAUAAGAAAAAUAAAACAAAAAAGUAUAAAGAAGAGAGAAAAAUAAACAAAAAGUAUAAAGAGAAGAGAAGAAAAUAAACAAAAAGUUAUAAAGAAGAGAGAAAAAUAAACAAAAAGUAUAAAGAAGAAGA
This 1394-nucleotide long non-coding RNA is filed under the name Mytilus galloprovincialis (Mediterranean mussel). The record is from RNAcentral. Lineage: Eukaryota; Metazoa; Mollusca; Bivalvia; Mytilida; Mytilidae.